GAUGAACGCUGGCGGCGUGCCUAAUACAUGCAAGUCGAGCGAACAGACGAGGAGCUUGCUCCUCUGACGUUAGCGGCGGACGGGUGAGUAACACGUGGAUAACCUACCUAUAAGACUGGGAUAACUUCGGGAAACCGGAGCUAAUACCGGAUAAUAUAUUUAACCGCAUGGUUCAAUAGUGAAAGACGGUUUUGCUGUCACUUAUAGAUGGAUCCGCGCGGCAUUAGCUAGUUGGUAAGGUAACGGCCUACCAAGGCGACGAUGCGUAGCCGACCUGAGAGGGUGAUCGGCCACACUGGAACUGAGACACGGUCCAGACUCCUACGGGAGGCAGCAGUAGGGAAUCUUCGGCAAUGGGCGAAAGCCUGACGGAGCAACGCGGCGUGAGUGAUGAAGGUCUUCGGAUCGUAAAACUCUGUUAUUAGGGAAGAACAAAUGUGUAAGUAACUGUGCACGUCUUGACGGUACCUAAUCAGAAAGCCACGGCUAACUACGUG
Molecule: ribosomal RNA, 497 nt
Filed under: uncultured bacterium
Lineage: Bacteria
Description: partial 16S ribosomal RNA
Rfam family: Bacterial small subunit ribosomal RNA
Source: RNAcentral